AGCACCCCGGAAGGGGAGUGAAAUAGAACCUGAAACCGUGUGCUUACAAGUAGUCAGAGCCCGUUAAUGGGUGAUGGCGUGCCUUUUGUAGAAUGAACCGGCGAGUUACGAUUUGAUGCAAGGUUAAGCAGUAAAUGUGGAGCCGUAGCGAAAGCGAGUCUGAAUAGGGCGUUUAGUAUUUGGUCGUAGACCCGAAACCAGGUGAUCUACCCUUGGUCAGGUUGAAGUUCAGGUAACACUGAAUGGAGGACCGAACCGACUUACGUUGAAAAGUGAGCGGAUGAACUGAGGGUAGCGGAGAAAUUCCAAUCGAACCUGGAGAUAGCUGGUUCUCUCCGAAAUAGCUUUAGGGCUAGCCUCAAGUGAUGAUUAUUGGAGGUAGAGCACUGUUUGGACGAGGGGCCCCUCUCGGGUUACCGAAUUCAGACAAACUCCGAAUGCCAAUUAAUUUAACUUGGGAGUCAGAACAUGGGUGAUAAGGUCCGUGUUCGAAAGGGAAACAGCCCAGACCACCAGCUAAGGUCCCAAAAUAUAUGUUAAGUGGAAAAGGAUGUGGCGUUGCCCAGACAACUAGGAUGUUGGCUUAGAAGCAGCCAUCAUUUAAAGAGUGCGUAAUAGCUCACUAGUCGAGUGACACUGCGCCGAAAAUGUACCGGGGCUAAACAUAUUACCGAAGCUGUGGAUUGUCCUUUGGACAAUGGUAGGAGAGCGUUCUAAGGGCGUUGAAGCAUGAUCGUAAGGACAUGUGGAGCGCUUAGAAGUGAGAAUGCCGGUGUGAGUAGCGAAAGACGGGUGAGAAUCCCGUCCACCGAUUGACUAAGGUUUCCAGAGGAAGGCUCGUCCGCUCUGGGUUAGUCGGGUCCUAAGCUGAGGCCGACAGGCGUAGGCGAUGGAUAACAGGUUGAUAUUCCUGUACCACCUAUA
RNAcentral lists this ribosomal RNA (924 nucleotides) under Staphylococcus aureus. Its description in RNAcentral is "partial 23S ribosomal RNA". It matches the Rfam family "Bacterial large subunit ribosomal RNA", at positions 520 to 1452 of the family's 2925-position model. The record is from RNAcentral. Lineage: Bacteria; Bacillati; Bacillota; Bacilli; Caryophanales; Staphylococcaceae.